This 253-nucleotide ribosomal RNA is filed under the name uncultured bacterium. Its description in RNAcentral is "partial 16S ribosomal RNA". It matches the Rfam family "Bacterial small subunit ribosomal RNA", at positions 524 to 776 of the family's 1533-position model. The record is from RNAcentral.
UACGUAGGGUGCGAGCGUUAAUCGGAAUUACUGGGCGUAGAGCGUGCGCAGGCGGCGCGUUAAGACAGGUGUGAAAGCCCCGAGCUUAACUUGGGAAUUGCGCUUGUGACUGGCGUGCUGGAGUGUGGCAGAGGGAGGUGGAAUUCCACGUGUAGCAGUGAAAUGCGUAGAGAUGUGGAGGAACACCGAUGGCGAAGGCAGCCUCCUGGGCCAGCACUGACGCUCAUGCACGAAAGCGUGGGGAGCAAACAGG